RNAcentral lists this ribosomal RNA (360 nucleotides) under uncultured bacterium. Its description in RNAcentral is "bacterial SSU rRNA". It matches the Rfam family "Bacterial small subunit ribosomal RNA", at positions 917 to 1271 of the family's 1533-position model. The record is from RNAcentral.
GGGCUCACACAAGCGGUGGAGGAUGUGGCUUAAUUCGAGGCAACGCGAAGAACCUUAUCCUGGACUUGACAUGUUUGGAUGGCUCGCCUGAAAGGGAUGAGUCUGCCUUCGGGUGAAACUUACACAGGUGCUGCAUGGCUGUCGUCAGCUCGUGUCGUGAGACGUCGCGUUAAGUCGCUUAACGAGCGCAACCCUUGUCCUUAGUUGCCAGCACGUAAUGGUGGGGACUCUAAGGAGACUGCCGGUGUUAAACCGGAGGAAGGCGGGGACGACGUCAAGUCAUCAUGGCUUUAUGUCCAGGGCUGCACACGUCCUACAAUGCAACAUACAGAGGGCAGCGAACCUGCAAAGGUAAGCAAA